Gossypium arboreum is the source of this 282-nucleotide long non-coding RNA. RefSeq lists it as uncharacterized. Lineage: Eukaryota; Viridiplantae; Streptophyta; Magnoliopsida; Malvales; Malvaceae. The record is from RefSeq and is a predicted model, not a curated record. The transcript is spliced from 2 exons.
AAGCUCAAAAGCAAAGGGGAACUAAAUCCGAUAAAGGAAAGGAAAAGGUGAUCGAAUAGCCGUUGAAAUCGUUCGACAACUUCCGAGAUCUCAUUUGGAAGCUACAGGCUCGGGGAUCGUCAGCAACUAGUCACACUAUCACUAUCCACUGCUUGUUACUGUUAUGUUUUGAAUUAUUUUAUGGCAUGUAAAGAAUAGACCAGUGGCCAAAGAAUAUUUUGGUUAAUGUAUAUAAGCCAUGCGAAAAUGGCAUCUUUUGAAUGUGUACUUAUAGUAGUUAAA